Molecule: unclassified non-coding RNA, 363 nt
Filed under: uncultured bacterium
Lineage: Bacteria
Description: contains 16S-23S intergenic spacer region
Source: RNAcentral
UCCCUGUUACCAGGGCAGUCUAGCUAGAAAAAUUCAACUAACUACAAGGGUUGCGCUCGUUGAUGGACUUAACCAAACAUCUCACGACACGAGCUGACGACGGCCAUGCAACACCUGUCACUUGGCUCAAUAAAGCACUUUCUACUUUCAUAGAAAUUCCAAGGAUGUCAAGCCUGGGUAAGGUUCUUCGCUUACCAUCGAAUUAAACAACACGCUCCACCGCUUGUGCGGGUCCCCGUCAAUUCCUUUAUGUUUUAGUCUUGCGACCGUACUCCACAGGCGGGAUACUUAACGCGUUAGCUUCGCUACUAGAGGGGUCGAUACCUCUAACAGCUAGUAUCCAUAGUUUACGGCGUGGACUAC